RNAcentral lists this ribosomal RNA (253 nucleotides) under uncultured bacterium. Its description in RNAcentral is "partial 16S ribosomal RNA". It matches the Rfam family "Bacterial small subunit ribosomal RNA", at positions 524 to 776 of the family's 1533-position model. The record is from RNAcentral.
UACGGGGGGGGCAAGCGUUGUUCGGAAUUACUGGGCGUAAAGGGCUCGUAGGUGGCCAACUAAGUCAGACGUGAAAUCCCUCGGCUUAACCGGAGAACUGCGUCUGAUACUGGAUGGCUUGAGAUUGGGAGAGGGAUGCGGAAUUCCAGGUGUAGCGGUGAAAUGCGUAGAUAUCUGGAGGAACACCGGUGGCGAAGGCGGCAUCCUGGACCAACACUGACACUGAGGAGCGAAAGCCAGGGGAGCAAACGGG